GUCAGGAUGGUGUAGUUGGUUAUCACAAAACCUUAACACGGUUUGGGUCAUGGGUUCGAUUCCCAUUCUUGAUA
The sequence is a transfer RNA, 74 nucleotides long. It matches the Rfam family "tRNA". Rfam says of the family: Transfer RNA (tRNA) molecules are approximately 80 nucleotides in length. The record is from Rfam.